UCGGUGGAAGAUUUCUGCAUCACAUUCAUAGGAGUUUGAUAAAGGAUGUCAAAUACGUUCUGGUCUGGGGCACAAGUGCAAGGCACUACCCUCAACAUUGUGGCCUUAGCCAAGCUCUGCAGGAUGAAGAUGUUGUUCAGAUUGUCAAGAAAAAGGAAAAAGACGAAGGAGGGAGAGGCCGCUUCAAAUCACAUUCGACAGCCCCUGCACGGAUCUCUGAUAGAGAGAAAAAGGCUCCAUUGAAGACCUAACAUGAGAAAAGCUGUCAGCAUGAAGUAUUAAGGGUUACCUUUUUUUUCUGUUGUAUUUUAAGCAAUAUAAUCUAUUUCCAUUUAAGUAGCUGUAUUUCAAUGUACUUGGAUACAAAUUUUUGUCUUUUACACUACAAAUCCAGUUCUGUGAAAGAAAAUUUGACUAUCUUCAGACAAGAAGGCAGAGGCUGUAAGCUUCGAAUGGGAUUUGUCUUGUAUUCUGUUAUUGUGUUAUAAAGACUAGGGAAAUCUCUGCAAGAACUAGUGUCUUGUUGCUGGGAGGCUUAUUUAUUUAAACAACUAACAAGUAAUUACGCUAGAUGAUAUUGGAUC
Hibiscus syriacus is the source of this 584-nucleotide long non-coding RNA. RefSeq lists it as uncharacterized. The transcript has 2 exons. NCBI's taxonomy places the organism in Eukaryota, Viridiplantae, Streptophyta, Magnoliopsida, Malvales, Malvaceae. The record is from RefSeq and is a predicted model, not a curated record.